This is a long non-coding RNA of Cynoglossus semilaevis (tongue sole), 758 nucleotides long. RefSeq lists it as uncharacterized. The record is from RefSeq and is a predicted model, not a curated record. The transcript has 4 exons. Lineage: Eukaryota; Metazoa; Chordata; Actinopteri; Pleuronectiformes; Cynoglossidae.
GCGGUCAAGGGUAGGGAGCGCGCUGAACAUUUGUAUAACGGAAAUAGGAAUACAUUGUACGGUCCUUGUUUCCGAUUGCGGAUCUGGCGCACGAGACACGAGUGUUAGCCGUUUGGGCUUCCAGUGGGCGUUCAAGUAAAGAAACCGGGUGCGGUGGCUACAUCUGAUUGAUUGAAAUGUUCUGCUUGUUUUUUUUUUUUUACAGAAACCCAUCCUACUGCAGGGGUCCGAACGGUCCACCACUCAGAUCAAGUACAACGGAGAAAGAGACCUUCUGUUUUCUGUCUCUAAAGAUCCACAGGAGAGUGAGGCGAGGACAAAGGUGUCAGCUAGAGGUUCUGACCUGAUCUUUAGGAAUCCCUGCAGAAAAACAACCCACACUUUGAACUCCACAAACCAGUCAUCCAGGCCAUUUCAGCCACUCAGGCCAGUGCCAAAGCACCUCCACCUCCAACACACUCUACAGGAGAAGAAGGUACUAACAUCACUCCAAAGAGACAUCAUCAUUCAACCGGCUGACAAAGGAAGAUGUGCAGUCAUCCUUAACACAUCAGAUUGCUUUGAAAUACUUUUUGGACUUUUAAACACAAAAUAUUCACUUGGCAGCAUGUUUUAAGACAUAAUCUUGUAUUCUAAGGCAUUUCUGGGACUUUUUAUUUUUUGCAUUCUUUCACGAUGGUAAGGCUAUAGUAAGGCAUGUUUUGGGUGAUUUUUGAAAUAUUCAUAUAAAAUACUUUUUGGAGUUUUAAACACAAAAU